This 681-nucleotide ribosomal RNA is filed under the name uncultured beta proteobacterium. Its description in RNAcentral is "bacterial SSU rRNA". It matches the Rfam family "Bacterial small subunit ribosomal RNA", at positions 28 to 703 of the family's 1533-position model. Lineage: Bacteria; Pseudomonadati; Pseudomonadota; Betaproteobacteria. The record is from RNAcentral.
AUUAACGCUGGCGGCAUGCCUUACACCUGCAAUCUCGAACGGCAGCACGGGAGCAAUCCUGGUUGGCGAGUGGCGAACGGGUGAGUAAUAUAUCGGAACGUGCCCAGUCGUGGGGGAUAACGCAGCGAAAGCUGUGCUAAUACCGCAUACGAUCUACGGAUGAAAGCGGGGGAUCGCAAGACCUCGCGCGAUUGGAGCGGCCGAUAUCAGAUUAGCUAGUUGGUGGGGUAAAGGCCCACCAAGGCGACGAUCUGUAGCUGGUCUGAGAGGACGACCAGCCACACUGGAACUGAGACACGGUCCAGACUCCUACGGGAGGCAGCAGUGGGGAAUUUUGGACAAUGGGCGCAAGCCUGAUCCAGCAAUGCCGCGUGCAGGAUGAAGGCCUUCGGGUUGUAAACUGCUUUUGUACGGAACGAAACGGUGAGCUCUAAUAAAGUUUGCUAAUGACGGUACCGUAAGAAUAAGCACCGGCUAACUACGUGCCAGCAGCCGCGGUAAUACGUAGGGUGCGAGCGUUAAUCGGAAUUACUGGGCGUAAAGCGUGCGCAGGCGGUUAUGUAAGACAGAUGUGAAAUCCCCGGGCUCAACCUGGGACCUGCAUUUGUGACUGCAUAGCUAGAGUACGGUAGAGGGGGAUGGAAUUCCGCGUGUAGCAGUGAAAUGCGUAGAUAUGCGGAG